Molecule: long non-coding RNA, 248 nt
Organism: Quercus lobata
Lineage: Eukaryota; Viridiplantae; Streptophyta; Magnoliopsida; Fagales; Fagaceae
Exons: 4
Source: RefSeq, a predicted model, not a curated record
AUUAUGUUUCACAAACCUAAACAAUGGCUGUUCCUUUGCUGACAAAGAAGAUUGUUAAGAAGCGUGUGAAGCAGUUCAAGGGCCCACAAAGUGACAGGAGGAUUUCUGUCAAGGUUUAAUGCACAAAUAACACAGGCUGAAAGAAUUGUUGAUAGGUAAAGGGCUAGCUCAGUCUUGGUCUCGGAAAGAGGAGAGCUAUUAGCAAGAAUAAGCAACACCAAUAUAGAACUGCAGCGUUGGAUGUGUGG